CAGUCGCCGCGGUAAUACGAAGGGUGCAAGCGUUACUCGGAAUUACUGGGCGUAAAGCGUGCGUAGGUGGUUGUUUAAGUCUGUCGUGAAAGCCCUGGGCUCAACCUGGGAAUUGCGAUGGAUACUGGGCGACUAGAGUGCGGUAGAGGAUAGUGGAAUCUCCGGUGUAGCAGUGAAAUGCGUAGAGAUCGGAAGGAACAUCUGUGGCGAAGGCGACUAUCUGGGCCAACACUGACACUGAGACACGAAAGCGUGGGGAGCAAACAGGAUUAGAUACCCGGGUAGUCCCUGUCUCUUAUAC
RNAcentral lists this ribosomal RNA (301 nucleotides) under uncultured bacterium. RNAcentral's name for it is "partial 16S ribosomal RNA". It matches the Rfam family "Bacterial small subunit ribosomal RNA", at positions 509 to 807 of the family's 1533-position model. The record is from RNAcentral.